Molecule: long non-coding RNA, 1097 nt
Organism: Zeugodacus cucurbitae (melon fly)
Lineage: Eukaryota; Metazoa; Arthropoda; Insecta; Diptera; Tephritidae
Exons: 3
Source: RefSeq, a predicted model, not a curated record
CAUAUCUGUUAAAUAAUAAGAAUAUCAAAAUUAUUGUUUUGUUUUAGUUUUGCAAUUAAAUUCAUUUCAAUAAUACCUGUUGUUGUAGAAUAUUUUGUGUUGUAUUUUUAGGUGCAUGAUUUUUGUUACUUCCUGACCCAAAGGACCACGAGUGCUUCUUCCAUGAUACGGCGAAUUCUAGUUCGAAUUUAUAUUGUACGAUUGAUGAGCGAUUGCCGUUGUAUGUGUUGAAGAACUGCUGGUAGGAUUCCCCGUGGGAACUUAAGAUGAUAUUGAAAACACAAAUCUUCUUCUGCUUACGCGGUUAUAGCCGAGUCCACAACAGCGCGCCACGCAUCUCUUCUUUUGGCAGUUUGGCGCCAAUUGGUAAUACCCAUUGGAGUGGAGGUCUCCCUCUUCAUCGGCUUCCACCAGCGGGUACUGCAUCGAAAACUUUCAGAGCUAGCCGCUGUCUUUUUAUUCGCUGGACUAUGCCUAUGUCGUCGAACAACAUAUACAGCUCAUCAUUUCAUCUUUUGCGGUAUUCGCCGUUGCUAAUGUUUAAGGGACCAUAAAUCUUCCGCAAAACCUUUCUCUCGAAAACUCCUAGUGCCGUCUCAUCGAAUGUUGACACCGUACACGCUUCUGCACCAUAAAGUAGGACGGAAAUGAUGAGGGACUUGAAGAGUUUAGUUUUUGCUCAACGAGAGAGGACUUUACUUUUCAAUUGCCUAUUCAGACUAUAAACACAAAUACUUUGCACAAAUGGAGGAUUACAAUAGCUACAACUUUUCUUAGGCAUGAUGAACAAGACAACAACAAAUCCCAUCGGACAUUUAAAUUAGCAGUUGCACAACCUAUUUCCGACGAGCUGAACCUUUUUAUGAUGUACAUAUGGGAUAGGAUUGUGUGGAAUUGAUAUCAAACAAUAUUGGUUCAUUAGUUUUGUUGGAUCCUUACAUGAUAGUUAUAAGGAAAUCGUUCGCAUUUAGUAUUAAUUUAUUCAUUUGCUAAUUCAUAAUUUAGAUGUAAAAUAUUAUUAAAUUAUACAAAUGAAUGUUCGAAUACUAAUAACAUUCGUAAUAGUAAUGGGAUUUUAUUUGAAUUGCAUAACAACA